GAGCAGGACGUUGAACUUGGGUAGGUGAA
Molecule: non-coding RNA, 29 nt
Filed under: Cricetulus griseus (Chinese hamster)
Lineage: Eukaryota; Metazoa; Chordata; Mammalia; Rodentia; Cricetidae
Source: RNAcentral